RNAcentral lists this microRNA precursor (150 nucleotides) under Pelobates cultripes (western spadefoot toad). The record is from RNAcentral. Lineage: Eukaryota; Metazoa; Chordata; Amphibia; Anura; Pelobatidae.
CUAGUGCAGGGCUGUCCAACCUGCGGCCCCCCAGAUGUUGCUGAACUACAACUCCCAUGAUUCCCUGGCUAUCUUUUUAAUUGAAAGAAUCAUGGGAGUUGUAGUUCAGCAACAUCUGGGGGGGCCGCAGGUUGGACAGCCCUGAUCUAG